AGGGCACCACCAGGAGUGGAGCCUGCGGCUUAAUUUGACUCAACGCGGGAAAACUCACCCGGCCAGGACACCGUAAGGAUUGACAGACUGAGAGCUCUUUCUUGAUUCGGUGGGUGGUGGUGCAUGGCCGUUCUUAGUUGGUGGAGUGAUUUGUCUGGUUAAUUCCGAUAACGAACGAGACUCUAGCCUGCUAAAUAGACGGGCGAUCCCGUUGUGGGUCGACCCGAUUUGCUUCUUAGAGGGACAAGUGGCGUUCCUAGCCACGCGAAAUUGAGCAAUAACAGGUCUGUGAUGCCCUUAGAUGUCCGGGGCCGCACGCGCGCUACAAUGAGGGACGCAGUGUGCCCGCAAAGCCUGACCCGAAAGGGUUGGGUAAUCAUUUCAAUUUCCCUCGUAAUAGGGAUUGAGCAUUGUAACUAUUGCUCAUGAACGAGGAAUUCCUAGUAAGCGCGAGUCAUAAGCUUGCGUUGACUACGUCCCUGCCCUUUGUACACACCGCCCGUCGCUACUACCGAUUGA
RNAcentral lists this ribosomal RNA (519 nucleotides) under uncultured eukaryote. RNAcentral's name for it is "SSU rRNA". It matches the Rfam family "Eukaryotic small subunit ribosomal RNA", at positions 1161 to 1692 of the family's 1831-position model. The record is from RNAcentral.